CCAAUAGCAAUACUAAUGUACAGGCCAAAACCAAAGACACCGACAGUAUUUCCAAAGAGCAAAAAAAAGUUGGAUUCUAGUACCAUAGCCCACAAGGCCCACCUGGAUCCCAGACCCAGACCCUACUCCAGGCUCGAAACCAGAUCUGACCCGGAUCACAACUCCAAGACCAGCGUUGCCACACCCUUGAAACCAGCCAUUGCGAUGCCAUCUUCUACCGGAAGAAGCUCAUCCACAACUGAUCACUACGUCGCAUCCCGGCCUCAACUCCUACAACCCAAACACCUCUGAUGUAAAACGGAAGUCGUGGCCUAUCACCUCCAUAGAUCUGAGCUUCUUGUACCUUCCUCCGUCAUGGACUACCACCUCUGAAUUUGGGGACAACACCCACACCUCUAUGCCACCAACAACCACCACAUCAAAUCGGGUCCCCACCAACGAACAACCGAUCUCUUGCCUCAAUGCCAAACCGGGAUUCCAAGUAUGAUUCAGGUCCUCUAGAGAAACGCAUCACAGUCCAUCAUCAUUCCUGCCAUUGGAAGUGAAUGCCAGGGAAGAGAUCCAACGCCGAAACGAAGAGGUGUAGCAACCCGGGGAUUGCCAUGGAGGGAUUCGCGAGGCCAAGAGGCUCGUCAGCCGAGAACCAUAAACGAGAACGUCACCGGUCAAGGGGUUUGGACGGCGAAAUCCUAAGUGUCAUUUUGUAAUGGAAGUGAUUCAACAUUAGCCACGAUAGAAUGGACGAUGAUGGAGCUGGUUAGACACUCAAAAGUGAUGAGGAAAACACAGAAAAAGAGUUCGGAAAGUUGCAUCUGGUGCCGGAAAAGCCUAUGAAUCCCACCUUCCACAGUUGCACACAUUCACUCCUUGAAAGCUGUGGUAAAGGAGGCAAUGCGAUUGCACCACCGGCCACCAGUUACUCCACUAGUUCCUAAAGAAUCAAAAGAGAAGUGCAUUCUGGACGGCUAUGAAGUACGGAAAACAAAUCGGGGUCUGAUCAAUGCCUAUGGGAUAGGAAGAGAUCCAGACGUAUGGGACAACCCCCCUUGAGUACAGACCCUAAAGGUUUAAGGAUGGAAACAGUGAUAAUGUCACAGAGAUAGAUUUUUAGGUUUCUACCAUUUGGGAGAGGAAGAAGAGGUUGUCCUAGUUCCGGUUUUGGCUUAGCAAAUUUUUUGCAAUAGCUCGUCUCUUGUA
RNA transcript from Fragaria vesca subsp. vesca, 1197 nucleotides. RefSeq lists it as uncharacterized. The record is from RefSeq and is a predicted model, not a curated record. NCBI's taxonomy places the organism in Eukaryota, Viridiplantae, Streptophyta, Magnoliopsida, Rosales, Rosaceae. The transcript has 2 exons.